Molecule: ribosomal RNA, 492 nt
Filed under: uncultured bacterium
Lineage: Bacteria
Description: partial 16S ribosomal RNA
Rfam family: Bacterial small subunit ribosomal RNA
Source: RNAcentral
GAUGAACGCUAGCUACAGGCUUAACACAUGCAAGUCGAGGGGAAACGACAUUGAAAGCUUGCUUUUGAUGGGCGUCGACCGGCGCACGGGUGAGUAACGCGUAUCCAACCUGCCCAUCACUUGGGAAUAACCUUGCGAAAGUAAGACUAAUACCCAAUGAUAUCCCACGAAGGCAUCGGAAUGGGAUUAAAGAUUUAUCGGUGAUGGAUGGGGAUGCGUCUGAUUAGCUUGUUGGCGGGGUAACGGCCCACCAAGGCAACGAUCAGUAGGGGUUCUGAGAGGAAGGUCCCCCACAUUGGAACUGAGACACGGUCCAAACUCCUACGGGAGGCAGCAGUGAGGAAUAUUGGUCAAUGGGCGAGAGCCUGAACCAGCCAAAUAGCGUGCAGGAAGACGGCCCUAUGGGUUGUAAACUGCUUUUAUAAGGGAAUAAAGUGGGUCACGUGUGACUUUUUGCAUGUACCUUAUGAAUAAGGACCGGCUAAUUCCGUG